RNAcentral lists this ribosomal RNA (579 nucleotides) under Microbacterium sp. StRD676. RNAcentral describes it as "bacterial SSU rRNA". It matches the Rfam family "Bacterial small subunit ribosomal RNA", at positions 102 to 694 of the family's 1533-position model. Lineage: Bacteria; Bacillati; Actinomycetota; Actinomycetes; Micrococcales; Microbacteriaceae. The record is from RNAcentral.
ACGGGUGAGUAACACGUGAGCAACCUGCCCCUGACUCUGGGAUAAGCGCUGGAAACGGCGUCUAAUACUGGAUACGAGUAGCGACCGCAUGGUCAGUUACUGGAAAGAUUUAUUGGUUGGGGAUGGGCUCGCGGCCUAUCAGCUUGUUGGUGAGGUAAUGGCUCACCAAGGCGUCGACGGGUAGCCGGCCUGAGAGGGUGACCGGCCACACUGGGACUGAGACACGGCCCAGACUCCUACGGGAGGCAGCAGUGGGGAAUAUUGCACAAUGGGCGCAAGCCUGAUGCAGCAACGCCGCGUGAGGGAUGACGGCCUUCGGGUUGUAAACCUCUUUUAGCAGGGAAGAAGCGAAAGUGACGGUACCUGCAGAAAAAGCGCCGGCUAACUACGUGCCAGCAGCCGCGGUAAUACGUAGGGCGCAAGCGUUAUCCGGAAUUAUUGGGCGUAAAGAGCUCGUAGGCGGUUUGUCGCGUCUGCUGUGAAAUCCGGAGGCUCAACCUCCGGCCUGCAGUGGGUACGGGCAGACUAGAGUGCGGUAGGGGAGAUUGGAAUUCCUGGUGUACGGGUGGAAUGCGCAGA